GUGGUGAUCUCUUUUCGUCCUGUAGCAAAGUAGACUUGUGGGUGUGGUCUGCCUUCACUGAGAUGGAAAUAAGAAAUUACAACUAGAGACCAUCAGAUCUGUAAGGCCUGGAGAGCCACGCAGAAGGAUGCAGACUGGUCAUCGGGCAGGAGUAUUGGUGCACAGAUGGCCAGUAUUGGAGGCUGAGACUUGAGAGAUGUCAAACAUCUGAGUGGGAUGGGAAAAAAUGAAGCUGAGAGUGUUGCAAUGAACUUCCCAAGGUCAUUCAUCUGAGUACAUGGGCCUGAGCAGGGCACACAGAAAAACUCAUUUAGGACUUGUGAAUGGAUGAACCACUUUAUACAUGGCUCUCAAGUGUGCAUUGCCUGGAAUUAGAAAUGCUUCAGGAGUCACAUCCAGAGGAUGCUCAAUAUAUUGACUGAAAGAUAAGACUGAAGGAUUUAAUGGGAGUUGGCAGCACUCUCUUAACUGCUCGUCGAAGACAAAUAAUUGGGAUCUUUCUAUGCUACAAACGCUUGACAUCAGAGAACACUUUCAGAAACCAAGACCCAUGCUGGAUAAAAAAGGCAGAAACAAAGAAUCAACAAGACACAAAGGUUACAGACAUCCCCCAAAUGCAUCCAAGAACAGCUUCUCUUCAGCUCCAGUAACAGCCAUGCCAGGGCUGAGUUCAGAGAUGAAAAGCAGUAGUCCUUUUUGACGUUCAAAUACAGAGUAAUAUUGGAGAUACGAGG
Molecule: long non-coding RNA, 734 nt
Filed under: Equus caballus (horse)
Lineage: Eukaryota; Metazoa; Chordata; Mammalia; Perissodactyla; Equidae
Description: lncRNA (ENSECAG00000049319.1)
Source: RNAcentral